Molecule: non-coding RNA, 72 nt
Organism: Cordylochernes scorpioides
Lineage: Eukaryota; Metazoa; Arthropoda; Arachnida; Pseudoscorpiones; Chernetidae
Source: the annotation of a GenBank genome assembly
UUCCAACGACAAGAACCGAACUCGGGCCUUCUGAGUGAGAGUGAAGUAUCCUAACCACUAGACCACAUUGGA